CAAAAACAUGUCCUUUUGUUUAUUAAUUUAAGGUUUGACCUGCCCAAUGAGGAAUUCAAUGGCCGCAGUAUUUUAACUGUGCUAAGGUAGCAUAAUCAUUUGUCUUUUAAUUGAGGGCUGGAAUGAAGGGUUGGACGAGGCAUUAGCUUUCUUUGAUUUAAUUUAGGAAUUUAAUUUUUGAGUUAAAAAGCUUAAAUUUAUUUAUGGGACGAGAAGACCCUAUAGAUCUUUAUGGUUUUAUGUUUUAAUAAUUUAGGGAUUUAUAUAUUUUAAGCAGAUGAAUUAUUUUGUUGGGGUGACUGUAGAAUUUAAAUAACUUCUAUUUUUUAUUUUCAUUAAUUAAUGUUUUUUUGAUCCAUAAUUUAUGAUUAGAAGAAUAAGUUACCUUAGGGAUAACAGCGUAAUUUCCUCGGAGAGUUCAUAUUGAUGAGGGAGUUUGCGACCUCGAUGUUGGAUUAAAAUAAGUUGUGGAUGCAGGAGUCUAUUUACUAGGUCUGUUCGACCUUUGAAUUUUUACAUGAUCUGAGUUCAAACCGGA
RNAcentral lists this ribosomal RNA (538 nucleotides) under Triatoma pseudomaculata. Its description in RNAcentral is "partial 16S ribosomal RNA". It matches the Rfam family "Bacterial large subunit ribosomal RNA", at positions 1808 to 2620 of the family's 2925-position model. The record is from RNAcentral. Lineage: Eukaryota; Metazoa; Arthropoda; Insecta; Hemiptera; Reduviidae.